This 546-nucleotide long non-coding RNA is filed under the name Homo sapiens (human). Its description in RNAcentral is "non-protein coding lnc-IMPDH2-1:1". Lineage: Eukaryota; Metazoa; Chordata; Mammalia; Primates; Hominidae. The record is from RNAcentral.
AGGAGAUGCUAUGGGAGUGCAAGCAGCUUGGGGCUCACUCCCCCUCCACCUUGCUGACCACCCUCAUGUUCUUUAAUACCAAGUAAGUGUUCUAGAGGCUCCACUGCUGGCAUCUGUCCAGUGAAGAGUGUGGAAGCUAUCCAAGAGGCCUUCUGAAUUCCUCUGACAUAUAUUUGAGAAACUGGGCUACUGAAAGCCCUAACCCCACUUGGCUGCAUUUUAUUUGGUAACCAGUGAGGCAAACACCCUUGCCAGACCCCUACCAUCCAUCUUGAUGUGGUUCCUGCACUGGACACUGCUUGGGUACUUCCUAUUGAAGACAGUGGACCAGCACAUGAAGCUGGCCUUCUCCAAGGUCUUGCGACAGACAAAGAAGAACCCCUCUAAUCCCAAGGAUAAAAGCACGAGUAUCCGGUACUUGAAGGCCCUUGGAAUACACCAGACUGGCCAGAAAGUUACAGAUGACAUGUAUGCAGAACAGACGGAAAAUCCAGAGAAUCCAUUGAGAUGUCCCAUCAAGCUCUAUGAUUUCUACCUCUUCAAAUG